GCUGGGUGCAGUGGCGCGUGCCUGUAGUCCCAGCUACUUGGGAGGCUGAGGGCGGGAGGACUGCUUGAGGCCAGGAGCUCGAGGCUGCAGUGUGCUGUGAUCAUGCCUGUGAAUAGACACUGCACUCCAGCCUGGGCAACCUAGUGAGACCCUGUCUCUU
Molecule: non-coding RNA, 160 nt
Filed under: Pongo abelii (Sumatran orangutan)
Lineage: Eukaryota; Metazoa; Chordata; Mammalia; Primates; Hominidae
Source: Rfam by way of RNAcentral